UGGGGAAUAUUGGACAAUGGGCGAAAGCCUGAUCCAGCCAUGCCGCGUGUGUGAAGAAGGUCUUCGGAUUGUAAAGCACUUUAAGUUGGGAGGAAGGGCAGUAAGUUAAUACCUUGCUGUUUUGACGUUACCAACAGAAUAAGCACCGGCUAACUUCGUGCCAGCAGCCGCGGUAUUACGAAGGGUGCAAGCGUUAAUCGGAAUUACUGGGCGUAAAGCGCGCGUAGGUGGUUCAGCAAGUUGGAUGUGAAAUCCCCGGGCUCAACCUGGGAACUGCAUCCAAAACUACUGAGCUAGAGUACGGAAGAGGGGGGUGGAAUUUCCUGUGUGGCGGUGAAAUGCGUAGAUAUAGGAAGGAACACCAGUGGCGAAGGGGACCACCUGGACUGAUACUGACACUGAGGUGCGAAAGCGGGGGGAGCAAACAGGAUUAGAUACCCUGGUAGUCCACGCCGUAAACGAUGUCGACUAGCCGUUGGGAUCCANUGAGAUCUUAGUGGNNGCAGUUAACNCGAUAAGUCGACCGCNUGGGGGNGUACGGCCGCAAGGUUA
Molecule: ribosomal RNA, 552 nt
Filed under: uncultured bacterium
Lineage: Bacteria
Description: bacterial SSU rRNA
Rfam family: Bacterial small subunit ribosomal RNA
Source: RNAcentral